Molecule: ribosomal RNA, 253 nt
Filed under: uncultured bacterium
Lineage: Bacteria
Description: partial 16S ribosomal RNA
Rfam family: Bacterial small subunit ribosomal RNA
Source: RNAcentral
UACGAAGGGGGCUAGCGUUGUUCGGAAUCACUGGGCGUAAAGGGUGCGUAGGCGGGUCUUUAAGUCAGAGGUGAAAUCCUGGAGCUCAACUCCAGAACUGCCUUUGAUACUGAAGAUCUUGAGUUCGGGAGAGGUGAGUGGAACUGCGAGUGUAGAGGUGAAAUUCGUAGAUAUUCGCAAGAACACCAGUGGCGAAGGCGGCUCACUGGCCCGAUACUGACGCUGAGGCACGAAAGCGUGGGGAGCAAACAGG